AGAGCCAUCCGCACCUGGGCUGCUGGGCUCAGCCUGCUCCCUGGAGUGAAGCCCACGCCCGUAUCUCUGUCCUGCCGACCAGCCGACCUGCCCAAAACCUGGGUGGGCAGGUCAGAGCUGCACCGAUCCCAAGGUUAAGGUUCACUCCUGGCCCCCCGCCCCCGCCAUCCAGCCGGCCGGUACUAAAGCGACCCACAGCCAUCGGCACCCCUUGGACCUUGUCAUGACCUCUACUACUGGACCUCGGAAACCUGAAACCGUCAGAUUUGUACCAAUGGCUCCCUGACCGGAUCCUGCCGUUCAAGGCCUCCUACCCCUCGGUGCAGGGAACAGCGGUCCCGACGGGCACCGUAGAGUCAGAGCUCCAACCGCAGCCCCCACCCGUCUGAGCGGUGAGGGAGCCACUCUGAGACUGCUCCCGUCUCAGGAAAACGGAGAUAAUAAUACCCAUUGCACCAGAUUACGGUAAGCAAAUGAAGUAAUGGUUAAAAAAAAAAAAAGGCUUAGUGCAGAAUGUGGUGUCUCAGGAAACAGUGGUGACGGUAAUAAUGACCCUAAUGUCCCUAAAUGAUCUCAUGCACCCUCAACAUGGCAGCUCCUACCCAUGGUCUGAUGGCUCCCAAGUGUGUAUCUUUAGUGCUGACGUCUCUGUGCUCCGGGCCAGUAGCAACGUUUAUAAAACAGCGCUCGUCACUUUCCUCCUCAAAAUUGUUCCUCGUCCCACCUUGCCAUUCACGUGAAUUGUACCAAAAUCCACCCAGUUCGUGGCCAGGUUGGGUAGCAAGGAAAGCAAAACAAAACAGGAUAAAGAAACCAAAACAAAACAAAACAACAAGACAAGACAAACCAAACGACAAAUAGAAAGCAGAUUUAGCUCACUCAUGGAAGAACUGAUCGGAAUAGGUACAAAAGAUGGUUUAGAGGCAACUGGGGGAAUUUUCCUGCGGACGAGGUGCUAGAUUAUAUGUAGGAAUUAUUGUCAAUUUUCUUGUAUAUGCUGGUUGUAGUAGAGUGGUCAUACAGGAGGCUGUCCUCGUCCCUGGAAGAUGCAGGCUGGGG
This is a long non-coding RNA of Felis catus (domestic cat), 1059 nucleotides long. RefSeq lists it as uncharacterized. The transcript has 3 exons. The record is from RefSeq and is a predicted model, not a curated record. Lineage: Eukaryota; Metazoa; Chordata; Mammalia; Carnivora; Felidae.